RNAcentral lists this ribosomal RNA (393 nucleotides) under uncultured bacterium. RNAcentral's name for it is "partial 16S ribosomal RNA". It matches the Rfam family "Bacterial small subunit ribosomal RNA", at positions 523 to 918 of the family's 1533-position model. The record is from RNAcentral.
AUACGGAGGAUCCGAGCGUUAUCCGGAUUUAUUGGGUUUAAAGGGAGCGUAGGCGGAUUGUUAAGUCAGUUGUGAAAGUUUGCGGCUCAACCGUAAAAUUGCAGUUGAAACUGGCAGUCUUGAGUACAGUAGAGGUGGGCGGAAUUCGUGGUGUAGCGGUGAAAUGCUUAGAUAUCACGAAGAACUCCGAUUGUGAAGACAGCUCACUAGACUGUUACUGACACUGAUGCUCGAAAGUGUGGGUAUCAAACAUGAUUAGAUACCCUGUUAGUCCACACAGUAAACGAUGAAUACUCGCUGUUUGCGAUAUACAGUAAGCGGCCAAGCGAAAGCAUUAAGUAUUCCACCUGGGGAGUACGCCGGCAACGGUGAAACACAAAGGAAUUGACGGGG